This 791-nucleotide ribosomal RNA is filed under the name uncultured archaeon. RNAcentral describes it as "bacterial SSU rRNA". It matches the Rfam family "Archaeal small subunit ribosomal RNA", at positions 85 to 877 of the family's 1478-position model. The record is from RNAcentral.
ACGGCUCAGUAACACGUGGAUAACCUGCCCUUAGGUCUGGCAUAACCCCGGGAAACUGGGGAUAAUUCCGGAUAGAUUAUAGACGCUGGAAUGCCCUGUAAUCGAAAGCUUUUGUGCCUAAGGAUGGGUCUGCGGUCUAUCAGGUUGUAGUGGGUGUAACGUACCUACUAGCCUACGACGGAUACGGGUUGUGGGAGCAAGAGCCCGGAGAUGGAUUCUGAGACAUGAAUCCAGGCCCUACGGGGCGCAGCAGGCGCGAAAACUUUACAAUGCGGGAAACCGCGAUAAGGGGACACCGAGUGCCAGCAUCCUAUGUUGGCUGUCCAUAUGUAUAAAUCACAUGUGUUAGCAAGGGCCGGGCAAGACCGGUGCCAGCCGCCGCGGUAACACCGGCGGCCCGAGUGGUGGCCACUAUUAUUGGGUCUAAAGGGUCCGUAGCCGGUUUGGUCAGUCUUCCGGAAAAUCUGACGGCUUAACCGUUAGGCUUUCGGGGGAUACUACCAGGCUUGGGACCGGGAGAGGUAAGAGGUACUACGGGGGUAGGAGUGAAAUCUUGUAAUCCCCGUGGGACCACCAGUGGCGAAGGCGUCUUACCAGAACGGGUCCGACGGUGAGGGACGAAAGCUGGGGGCACGAACCGGAUUAGAUACCCGGGUAGUCCCAGCUGUAAACUAUGCUCGCUAGGUGUCAGGGACGGUGCGACCGUUUCUGGUGCCGCAGGGAAGCCGUGAAGCGAGCCACCUGGGAAGUACGGUCGCAAGGCUGAAACUUAAAGGAAUUGGCGGGGGAGA